RNAcentral lists this long non-coding RNA (695 nucleotides) under Arachis ipaensis. RNAcentral describes it as "long non-coding RNA (AIPA_LNC001867)". Lineage: Eukaryota; Viridiplantae; Streptophyta; Magnoliopsida; Fabales; Fabaceae. The record is from RNAcentral.
GAGUAUAAAGGGUAUGGAAACAAGGCUUGUGAUAGCAUUAAAUGUGCAAGUGGCAUUGGUUGUACCUUACAGAAGAUCCAUCUAUCAAAUUUGUUAACCCCAAAAUACAGUGUGUAUCCAUACUCAGAGGACCCAUCUCACAAUGAUUUUGGUUUCACACCUCUUCAGAACCAUGUGGUUUUGGUUCAGAAUUUGUAUGACUUCAAAAUUAUACAUUCAAAAAAUAUAAAUAACUCCAUAAAGUAGUAUUAUACUAGUAUAUAAAAGUUGUUAUUUCUGAUGAAGUAGAACACAUAUAAAGAAAAUUCUAAGAAAAAAAAAAUGCAACAAGCUAAGAACUAGAGAGGAGGAGGUCCUGGUUCAUAAAGAGGAGGGAAGCAGCAACUGAAUAAACCACAGCAGCACAGAAACCAUAAGCUGAAAUGUAGAAUAAAACCAAACAAAACAUGUUAUAGGAGGAUCAGUUCUAAGUUUGCAUAACUCAUUAUGAAGCAAGGAUAAGUGUUGUCUUACCAUGUAUCCAAGAAUCCUCCAUCAGGGGGAGCUUGACCUAGCAAUGGUGUGCUUGGAGGAGGAGGAUCCAUCACCUACUUACAAGUUACAAUAAUGGUUACUUCUCAACAAAGAAAAAGUAAGCAUAGUUGAUAGGUUUCUUACCAUCCUUUCCUCAAGUCUUACCUUCAUCUACCAUUCAA